AUACGGAGGAUCCAAGCGUUAUCCGGAUUUAUUGGGUUUAAAGGGUGCGUAGGCGGACUGGUAAGUCAGCUGUGAAAGUUUGCGGCUUAACCGUAAAAUUGCAGUUGAUACUGUCAGUCUUGAGUGUGCAUGAGGUGGGCGGAAUUUGUGGUGUAGCGGUGAAAUGCUUAGAUAUCACGAGGAACUCCAAUUGCGAAGGCAGCUCACUGGGGCAUAGCUGACGCUGAUGCGCGAAGGUGUGGGUAUCAAACAGGAUUAGAUACCCUGGUAGUCCACACAGUAAACUAUGAAUACUCGCUGUUUGCGAUAGACAGUAAGCGGCCAAGCGAAAGCAUUAAGUAUUCCACCUGGGGAGUACGCCGGCAACGGUGAAACUUAAAGGAAUUGACGGGG
RNAcentral lists this ribosomal RNA (393 nucleotides) under uncultured bacterium. Its description in RNAcentral is "partial 16S ribosomal RNA". It matches the Rfam family "Bacterial small subunit ribosomal RNA", at positions 523 to 918 of the family's 1533-position model. The record is from RNAcentral.